This 1917-nucleotide long non-coding RNA is filed under the name Exaiptasia diaphana. RNAcentral describes it as "uncharacterized LOC110233783". The record is from RNAcentral. Lineage: Eukaryota; Metazoa; Cnidaria; Anthozoa; Actiniaria; Aiptasiidae.
CAGUAAGGAACGAAGGAGUCACAUGCCCUCCCUUGACUAUAGAUGGGUCUGUUUUCCCUUCCCUGAUCCUUCGUUCUGGUGCAUCUGUGAGCUGGUCAGUAGGUUAAAAAUGCCNAGAUAAGCAAGCGCGAUUGCUUUAGAACAUUACAUGACCGCUUGGAGAUACUAAUUUUAUCUUCUNGUGUUCAAUUGAUAUCUCAGUCGUUCGCUUAAUACCCNCUAUCNACAUCUACAUAGCUCCCGCACUCAGCACUGUUCAUAGGGUUACUAGCUGUAUAUUAGCAUGAAGUCGACCUCAAUGCUGGUGUGAUGAGCNCUGUCCACACCACCGGGAAGUCCGUGCCCUACUCUUAGUNGAAUAGUUGUGUGGGUUCUUAACGUCUCUCUGCCGCUAAUGAGAAGUGUAGAGANACGGUACCUCCGGCUUUACGUCCUUUUCCGAGAAGACGAGGCACUGAGAGAGUUAAGUGUCCUCCCCAAGAACACAACGUGAUCUCCCCGUCUGGGAAUCGAACCCAGGCCUGUCGAUCCGAAGUCCAAUGACCAAAUCACUGGGCCAUCACGUCUCCUCUAUGUACUGACUGANUUGCAGUGUACAAUGUUGUACUUGAAUGACUUACAUUCUAUAUUAUUGUUUUCCCUUUAUAUCUUUAAAGGUCAAAGGAUUUGNUAACUUGUAUACACAAUGGAGCAGUAUUCACGAAAGCACUUUGUCAGCUGACCGAUAUUAUUUGUGGUCCUAUUCUUCAAGUACUUGAAAACAGAUUAAAACUCAACGAGAGAAGAGCAAUUCUGCUUGAACAGGAAAAAGAGUGGUUAUCGAAAGAAUUGAAAACAUUNUCCGGGGAGUAAUGAAGACAUGGGCCGUAGUGUAACCUAACGUGAACGGAUUUAAAUUCAGUGAUCUUCAAGACAAUNCUGAUAAUCGCACAGUCGUNUUGUCAAGAAAAAAUGUCACACUUUUUAAAGUUAUAAAGUAUGAGAAAGCCUUAGAAUCAAUUCAGAUUUGUUUAGCAUAACGAUAUAACGUAGACCUUAUUACUUUAUUAGAAAAAUUGGGUGAUACUCCCCUAUAUUUGCUAUACGGGUAUGUGCUUAUCGAUAGGNUCGGAGCUCCAAGUAUGGGAUAGGGUAUAAUUUUUUGCCCAUUUGGCAGAUANACUUUUGCAUGUUUAUUUUUUUGUUGUUGUCAUUUGCUAAAGAAAAUUAAACUAGACGCUCUAUGAGCGUAAAGUCAGGCUACUCAGAGAAUGUUAAGGGUGUCUCUAACUCUUGUCAGCAAGUCUUUUUGUUCCCCACAAAAUGACGUACAUGCAUGUACUUGAUGGCAAGCAAAAGAAAGAGCAAAAACAUCGCGAUCAAUCCCUGUCAGAAACCUGACGGCCUAGAGUACAUCAUCGUAAGUUAAUACAUUUUGCUUUACUUAUAUACCAGUAUUUUUGCUUACUGAAAACCAUACCAUGACAUUAUUAUUAUGUAAAUCAACUUCCUUAUAUUAUUGCCAUGCAUCUUCAGAAUGUUUNANAUUAAUAAUAGNUUCUUUUGGUUAUAUAUCCUAGACAGUAUAGUAUAACUUAUUUCCAACAUUUACAUUGCGUUUUCUAGGUCCACCAAUUGCAAGGCAUGCAGUUUUUGUNAUUAAUCAAUGUACAUUAUUUCAUUGCAUGUCGACAUUACCCAAACAGUCUCAUUUUGCCUUGAGAUACCCUGACUGCAUAGGAUGUUUCCAAAAUCCUCUGCUCACAGGGUACCUUGAGAGUACUUACACUAUUUUGCUGCGAUUUAAUAUUACUGCACAUGCAGGGUGCUUGUUUUUUUUCUACAUCUCUACUUAAAUUAAACUUAGUAUACAAUGACUGAUUUUGAGACUUUUAUAAGUAUGGGAUAAAUAUUCGCAAAUAAAAGUUAAAUUGUUCA